Molecule: ribosomal RNA, 1478 nt
Filed under: uncultured Campylobacterota bacterium
Lineage: Bacteria; Pseudomonadati; Campylobacterota
Description: bacterial SSU rRNA
Rfam family: Bacterial small subunit ribosomal RNA
Source: RNAcentral
GUUUGAUCCUGGCUCAGAGUGAACGCCGGCGGCGUGCCUAACACAUGCAAGUCGAACGAGAACGGAACUAGCUUGCUAGUUUGUCAGCUAAGUGGCGCACGGGUGAGUAAUAUAUAGUUAAUCUGCCCCAAAGAAGAGAAUAAUUGUUGGAAACGACUUGUAACGCUCUAUAUGCCUUUAUUACAUAAGUAAGCAAGGGAAACAUUUAUGGCUUUGGGAUGAGACUGUACGGUAUCAGCUAGUUGGUGAGGUAAUGGCUCACCAAGGCUAUGACAUCUAACUGGUUUGAGAGGAUGAUCAGUCACACUGGAACUGAGACACGGUCCAGACUCCUACGGGAGGCAGCAGUGGGGAAUAUUGCACAAUGGAGGAAACUCUGAUGCAGCAACGCCGCGUGGAGGAUGACACAUUUCGGUGCGUAAACUCCUUUUAUUAGGGAAGAUAAUGACGGUACCUAAUGAAUAAGCACCGGCUAACUCCGAUGCCAGCAGCCGCGGUAAUACGGGGGGUGCAAGCGUUACUCGGAAUCACUGGGCGUAAAGAGAAUGUAGGCUGGUUAUUAAGUUGGAAGUGAAAUCCUAUGGCUCAACCAUAGAACUGCUUCCAAAACUGAUUACCUAGAAUAUGGGAGAGGUAGAUGGAAUUUCUGGUGUAGGGGUAAAAUCCGUAGAGAUCAGAAGGAAUACCGAUUGCGAAGGCGAUCUACUGGAACAUUAUUGACGCUGAGAUUCGAAAGCGUGGGGAGCAAACAGGAUUAGAUACCCUGGUAGUCCACGCCCUAAACGAUGCACACUAGUUGUUGCUAUGCUAGACAUAGCAGUAAUGCAGUUAACACAGUAAGUGUGCCGCCUGGGGAGUACGGUCGCAAGAUUAAAACUCAAAGGAAUAGACGGGGACCCGCACAAGCGGUGGAGCAUGUGGUUUAAUUCGACGAUACGCGAAGAACCUUACCUGGCCUUGACAUAGUAAGAAUCUAAUAGAGAUAUAAGAGUGCUAGUUUACUAGAGCUUACAUACAGGUGCUGCACGGCUGUCGUCAGCUCGUGUCGUGAGAUGUUGGGUUAAGUCCCGCAACGAGCGCAACCCUCGUGUUUAGUUACUAACAGUUCGGCUGAGGACUCUAGACAGACUGCCUGGGUAACCAGGAGGAAGGUGAGGACCGACGUCAAGUCAUCAUGGCCCUUACGGCCAGGGCUACACACGUGCUACAAUGGGGUAUACAAAGAGCCGCGAUACCGUGAGGUGGAGCAAAUCUCAUAAAAUAUCUCCCAGUUCGGAUUGAAGUCUGCAACUCGACUUCAUGAAGUUGGAAUCGCUAGUAAUCGUGAAUCAGCAACGUCACGGUGAAUACGUUCCCGGGUCUUGUACUCACCGCCCGUCACACCAUGGGAAUUGAAUUCAUUCGAAGCGGGGAUGCUAAAAUAGCUACCUUCCACAGAUGGAUUUAGUAACUCAGGGUGAAGUCGUAACAAGGUACCC